CGUAGCCGACCUGAGAGGGUGAUCGGCCACACUGGAACUGAGACACGGUCCAGACUCCUACGGGAGGCAGCAGUAGGGAAUCUUCCGCAAUGGGCGAAAGCCUGACGGAGCAACGCCGCGUGAGUGAUGAAGGUCUUCGGAUCGUAAAGCUCUGUUGUUAGGGAAGAACAAAUGUGUAAGUAACUGUGCACAUCUUGACGGUACCUAACCAGAAAGCCACGGCUAACUACGUGCCAGCAGCCGCGGUAAUACGUAGGUGGCAAGCGUUAUCCGGAAUUAUUGGGCGUAAAGCGCGCGUAGGCGGUUUUUUAAGUCUGAUGUGAAAGCCCACGGCUCAACCGUGGAGGGUCAUUGGAAACUGGAAAACUUGAGUGCAGAAGAGGAAAGUGGAAUUCCAUGUGUAGCGGUGAAAUGCGCAGAGAUAUGGAGGAACACCAGUGGCGAAGGCGGCUUUCUGGUCUGCAACUGACGCUGAUGUGCGAAAGCGUGGGGAUCAAACAGGAUUAGAUACCCUGGUAGUCCACGCCGUAAACGAUGAGUGCUAAGUGUUAGGGGGUUUCCGCCCCUUAGUGCUGCAGCUAACGCAUUAAGCACUCCGCCUGGGGAGUACGGUCGCAAGACUGAAACUCAAAGGAAUUGACGGGGACCCGCACAAGCGGUGGAGCAUGUGGUUUAAUUCGAAGCAACGCGAAGAACCUUACCAAAUCUUGACAUCCUUUGACCGCUCUAGAGAUAGAGUUUUCCUCUUCGGAGGACAAAGUGACAGGUGGUGCAUGGUUGUCGUCAGCUCGUGUCGUGAGAUGUUGGGUUAAGUCCCGCAACGAGCGCAACCCUUGAACUUAGUUGCCAUCAUUCAGUUGGGCACUCUAAGUUGACUGCCGGUGACAAACCGGAGGAAGGUGGGGAUGACGUCAAAUCAUCAUGCCCCUUAUGAUUUGGGCUACACACGUGCUACAAUGGACAAUACAAAGGGCAGCGAAACCGCGAGGUCAAGCAAAUCCCAUAAAGUUGUUCUCAGUUCGGAUUGUAGUCUGCAACUCGACUACAUGAAGCUGGAAUCGCUAGUAAUCGUAGAUCAGCAUGCUACGGUGAAUACGUUCCCGGGUCUUGUACACACCGCCCGUCACACCACGAGAGUUUGUAACACCCGAAGCCGGUGGAGUAACCAUUUUGGAGCUAGCCGUCGAAGGUGGGACAAAUGAUUGGGGUGAAGUCGUAACAAGGUAGCCGUAUCGGAAGGUGCGGCUGGAUCACCUCCUUUCUA
This 1264-nucleotide ribosomal RNA is filed under the name Staphylococcus pseudintermedius. RNAcentral describes it as "bacterial SSU rRNA". It matches the Rfam family "Bacterial small subunit ribosomal RNA", at positions 282 to 1533 of the family's 1533-position model. The record is from RNAcentral. Lineage: Bacteria; Bacillati; Bacillota; Bacilli; Caryophanales; Staphylococcaceae.